CUAGCACUUUAGCAGCAUCCACGCUAAGCCCUUCUGCCAUAAUUGCACCGGCCUCUUGUUGCUGCUUGUUUAUGUCACUCCGCCGCGCCUGAGAGUACUGCCCCUCGUGGCUGACUGGUCCUUUCACCCUCUAACUGGGCCCGAACAGUUCACACGGAAGCUUUGCAAAAUGAAUUCGCCAGUGAAAAAUAAGGAAAUGGGCAUAACCAUCUGCUUUGCAAGGUUAGACGAGACCCUUGAGGAAGGAAAGCUAUCACAAGAUCAUGCAACCCUGAUGAGCUGUUGUGGGAGCAGUUAACCACAUGAAGGAAGACUCCGUCAACCCAAGCCAUGCUUCAGAAAGCGUUGGCUGAAAUCUCAUCAGAUUUCCUUGGAAAAACUGAUAGCUGGAAUGCCUGAGGUCUUCACAGCUGUAGCUACUGAAAACGAUGUUUUUCAUGAAAGCAAAGUUUAAAGAACAUUUUUCAUUAAAAUCAUUUUUUCUAACUGUGACGAUAUCAGCAUGACCAGUUUAUUUGCUGUUUUUCCUAUUCAGACUAAUAACAUGAAUAUUUCCGUGGAAUACAAGAAAAAUUCCAACUGAUCCCAAACUUGGUUUUUACAGCUUAACUUUACAAGAGACUAUAAUUUUGCUAACCUCCAUGGGCCCCCUAUUUGUCUGGGCUCCAGAAAGCUCUCCCCUUUUUCCCCCUUAAGGGUGGCCUUGUUUCCCAUGUUCUAGCAACAUCCUAAAACCAGCUUUGUGAUUUGACAAGCUGAAGUGCAUACAUCAUCAUCAUCAUCAUUAGAUUGACUGAUUCCGGCUGCAACAGCUCAGUUCUGAUAGCAGAAAUGGUUGGGUCAUAAACCAAUAAUUUAGAAUUUCAUGGUGAUUUCGAGAAUGGUGACCCUUGGCUACACCCUUUGAAUCACUACAGCAUCAGUGCUUUUUUAAAUUGUUUUUUAACUGCAAAACUUAUCCAUCCUUACCAUAACCUGACAGAAUCAGUAAGGAAGUGAUUGUUGCUCUUUUUGCAGAAGGAGUGAUCCACCCCCACCACUCCAGGUUAUCCCUCUAUUCUUGUUUCCUGGCACUGGCUGGAGGCCUUAUUGUGCCUCACACAAACAGUGUAUUUGUCUGUUUCAUGCCUGUUUAAACUUGGAUUAAUCCCUGUUAUAAAGACAGAAAAGUAAAGUCCUGCUAAAGAAAGGAUUUUCCAUGGAAAGAAAUUGUUCAAACGUCCAGUUAGACAGAAGAGAACAUGGAUGAUAAGCUCUGAGAUCUUAAGUGGAUCAGAAAGCUGCUGUGAGUGGUAAAUCAUUAGUUGCUUUGUAAAUCAUUAAUGCUGGUAAUAAGAUAGUGCUGCUCUGAAACGUCCUUAGCAUGAGAGAAAUUUAUCUUCUCUGGAACAAAAGGAAAACCUGACACCACACCCAUUUAUCUCCGAGCACAGGGAGCGGACGGUGGCUUCUAACUGCUUGCCUGAGUAGCCAGCACUAAAUCAGUCAUAAAAUAAUUCAGUGGUUUUGUUAUCAGAUCAAGCAUGUGUGUAAGGGGAAUGUUGUUAAAAUACCCAAGAGACUGAAGGAAGUGAAAGAGUUUUGCACCACCAACAAAAGGAUGUUUAAACAGAAGAAAUGUCAUCACUGGCCAGCAGGAAGUCUUUAAAAGGAAGUGACAGUUUUAGUGGAUUCCAAGGAACAAGGCUAGAUUACAAGGGCUGGGAAGUAAGAGGGGGGCUUUGUGUUUUUUCAUAACUUCUCUGGAAAGAGCAUCCAUCUGAGGAGAGAGAGUAUAAAAAGAAGGUGCAGCAAACAUGGGGCACAAAGUCCGUUACUCUCAGACGGAUUAACACUUCAGCGGUGUGUUUUCUAAACCUGAGAAGGAAAUCCCAACAGAACGACCACCAAAAUGAGGACUGCAAUCAUCUGCAUAAUUUUCCUGGCCUGUGCUUCUGUUUGCUUUUCAGCACCUAUUCUUGACUGCCGUUGCCCACGUGCAAACAAGAACGUAAGAGUCGCUAACAUCGAGGAUGUCCAGAUUCUUGAUCCCCGUCCAUACUGUCAGAAGCUGGAGGUCAUUGUGACGCUGAAAACCGGUGGCUCGCGGUGUCUCGACCCCAGAGAAGCGUUCACUCAGGCGAUCAUGAAAGCCAAACGACUGUCCAUGGUUCGUGCUUUGAUGAAGAGGAACACCAUCAACCUAUCCACAACCACUCUGUUGACCACAGUGACAUCAACAUCACCAUAGUACAUCUGACUGUGCUCCUCACCGAUUCGAUUGAACAAGGUGUGGGUUUAAAGUAAGAAAGGUCUUUUCACCCCUGGUAAUACACCCAGAGACCACCAGGCCUUUGGUGCAUCCAUAGCACGACAAGUGGCUCAUGGCAACCUUACUCCCCGCCCAGAUGGGCGCCACAUCCACCUCUUACUGUGUUCCAAAUGUGUGGACUGGUUAUUUUUUUCAACAGACUAUUUUAUCAUUCACCUGGUAAAAUGUAAAGACAUCCAGAGUAUUACCGGGCUUGUACCAAUCCUCCUUUUCACCUGAUGAUGCCCUCAGGUGGGCUUACUCGCCACAUCUAUGCCUUAAGGAGACAAGAGAUACACCACAAACAUCAUGUUGUGAUGCAAUGUAAACAAAACAUGGUUCUGACUUAGGCUGGCCAAACACUUCAGGAUCUGUAGCCUGAUUUGAGGCAAGGUUUGCCUCCCCCAUUGAUUGUGGGGGCGGAGCCUCGUCGCAAACAACUAUCUGUCUUGAUAAUCCUUGUGUGUGGUCACCACGAUUACUUUACCGCUGCAAAUCCUCGCCUCCCAGACCCCGAGUCGUAAAUAUCAAACAUGUUUGGUAUUUACGAUUCAAGGUCAUAGUGCCUUUUGAUGUAGCACCCACAUCAACCAAUGAGAGCGAGCAGACCAGGUAGCAUAACCAGCCAGAUCGUACGUACUUUCCCCACUCACUGUGCCUCUAUUCCACCCAGGAAUUCAUCCUGAUUCUUGUCCUUGUUUUCUAAUUUUUGUGGCUGAGUCGUUUAAUGCAGGGGUGUCAAACUCAAGGCCUGGGGGCCAAAUCCGGCCCGUGGUAGUUAUACCCGGCCUGCAAGGUUCUAUCAUAUUUUUGUUAUAACUGUCCCCCCCAGUAUAAGGUCUGCAGAUUUCCUCCUGUAUAAAAAUGUAAACUAAACCUCAAUGAUUUAAAAAAAAUCCUUUUUAAAACUUACAAAUUUUG
RNA transcript from Cheilinus undulatus (humphead wrasse), 3211 nucleotides. It is a transcript of the gene named growth-regulated alpha protein-like, with no coding region annotated. The transcript is spliced from 5 exons. NCBI's taxonomy places the organism in Eukaryota, Metazoa, Chordata, Actinopteri, Labriformes, Labridae. The record is from RefSeq and is a predicted model, not a curated record.